RNAcentral lists this ribosomal RNA (691 nucleotides) under Salmonella enterica. Its description in RNAcentral is "bacterial SSU rRNA". Lineage: Bacteria; Pseudomonadati; Pseudomonadota; Gammaproteobacteria; Enterobacterales; Enterobacteriaceae. The record is from RNAcentral.
AUCAUGGCUCAGAUUGAACGCUGGCGGCAGGCCUAACACAUGCAAGUCGAACGGUAACAGGAAGCAGCUUGCUGCUUUGCUGACGAGUGGCGGACGGGUGAGUAAUGUCUGGGAAACUGCCUGAUGGAGGGGGAUAACUACUGGAAACGGUGGCUAAUACCGCAUAACGUCGCAAGACCAAAGAGGGGGACCUUCGGGCCUCUUGCCAUCAGAUGUGCCCAGAUGGGAUUAGCUKGUUGGUGAGGUAACGGCUCACCAAGGCGACGAUCCCUAGCUGGUCUGAGAGGAUGACCAGCCACACUGGAACUGAGACACGGUCCAGACUCCUACGGGAGGCAGCAGUGGGGAAUAUUGCACAAUGGGCGCAAGCCUGAUGCAGCCAUGCCGCGUGUAUGAAGAAGGCCUUCGGGUUGUAAAGUACUUUCAGCGGGGAGGAAGGUGUUGUGGUUAAUAACCACAGCAAUUGACGUUACCCGCAGAAGAAGCACCGGCUAACUCCGUGCCAGCAGCCGCGGUAAUACGGAGGGUGCAAGCGUUAAUCGGAAUUACUGGGCGUAAAGCGCACGCAGGCGGUCUGUCAAGUCGGAUGUGAAAUCCCCGGGCUCAACCUGGGAACUGCAUUCGAAACUGGCAGGCUUGAGUCUUGUAGAGGGGGGUAGAAUUCCAGGUGUAGCGGUGAAAUGCGUAGAGA